ACGAAGGGGGCUAGCGUUGUUCGGAAUUACUGGGCGUAAAGCGCGCGCAGGCGGUUCUUCAAGUCAGAGGUGAAAGCCCAGGGCUCAACCCUGGAAUGGCCUUUGAGACUAGAGGACUUGGGUACGGGAGAGGUAAGUGGAAUUCCGAGUGUAGAGGUGAAAUUCGUAGAUAUUCGGAAGAACACCAGUGGCGAAGGCGACUUACUGGACACAUAUUGACGCUGAGGUGCGAAAGCGUGGGGAGCAAACAGGA
RNAcentral lists this ribosomal RNA (253 nucleotides) under uncultured prokaryote. Its description in RNAcentral is "partial 16S ribosomal RNA". It matches the Rfam family "Bacterial small subunit ribosomal RNA", at positions 525 to 777 of the family's 1533-position model. The record is from RNAcentral.